RNAcentral lists this non-coding RNA (30 nucleotides) under Homo sapiens (human). The record is from RNAcentral. Lineage: Eukaryota; Metazoa; Chordata; Mammalia; Primates; Hominidae.
UACUGGAGACCAACCCUUUCCCACCGAGGA